GCCCCGGUGGCGCAGCGGAGAGCGCGCCGAACUACGAAUUCGGAGGGCCCAGGUUCGAAUCCUGGCCGGGGCA
This 73-nucleotide transfer RNA is filed under the name Micromonospora sp. CB01531. It matches the Rfam family "tRNA". From Rfam's summary of the family: Transfer RNA (tRNA) molecules are approximately 80 nucleotides in length. Their secondary structure includes four short double-helical elements and three loops (D, anti-codon, and T loops). Further hydrogen bonds mediate the characteristic L-shaped molecular structure. tRNAs have two regions of fundamental functional importance: the anti-codon, which is responsible for specific mRNA codon recognition, and the 3' end, to which the tRNAs corresponding amino acid is attached (by aminoacyl-tRNA synthetases). tRNAs cope with the degeneracy of the genetic code in two manners: having more than one tRNA (with a specific anti-codon) for a particular amino acid; and 'wobble' base-pairing, i.e. permitting non-standard base-pairing at the 3rd anti-codon position. The record is from Rfam by way of RNAcentral. Lineage: Bacteria; Bacillati; Actinomycetota; Actinomycetes; Micromonosporales; Micromonosporaceae.